Lolium perenne is the source of this 499-nucleotide long non-coding RNA. RefSeq lists it as uncharacterized. The record is from RefSeq and is a predicted model, not a curated record. Lineage: Eukaryota; Viridiplantae; Streptophyta; Magnoliopsida; Poales; Poaceae.
UGCAGAUUCACUGUUUGUUAGAUUUGUUCCGUUUUACAAAACCUUUUUGAGCAAACUAAACUGCGGGCAAAAGCACUCUUCAAUACCUUCAUUUUGGCGGUGGUUUCACUUCGAUUGACCUCCUGAAACUGAAAUGGUUCGCAGAUCAAGAUCUGGACAGAUCUGGCUUUGUCGAAUUAAACCAGGAGCUUGGGAACUAAUUUUUGAAUGAAACAAAUUGGGGGAUACUUAGUUGUGCCAUGGUGAUACCGAGAGAGGCAAUUGCUAAGUUAUGAUACUCUCAUACCUUUACUAGAUGCGAACAAUUUCGGAGGAGAAGAAGAAGAAGUGGAAUCGGACAAGGAUUUUAUUUGUACUGUGGGAAUUCUUAUUUGAUGGAGUUGAAGAAGUCCAGGGACAAAUAAGCCAAGGCAAGCCAUCUUUUGAUCUCUGAUAUGAUGUCUCUUUGGAUGUCAUCUUGUGCUAUCAAUAGCAUCUUGGUUCUAUGUGUGAUGAUCUC